UACGAAGGGGGCUAGCGUUGUUCGGAAUCACUGGGCGUAAAGCGCAUGCAGGCGGAUCGCUAAGUCGGGGGUGAAAUCCCGAGGCUCAACCUCGGAACUGCCUUCGAUACUGGCGAUCUUGAGUCCGGGAGAGGUGAGUGGAACUCCGAGUGUAGAGGUGAAAUUCGUAGAUAUUCGGAAGAACACCGAUAGCGAAGGCAGCUCACUAGGCCUGGAUUGACGCUCAGGGACGAAAGCGUGGGGAGCAAACAGG
Molecule: ribosomal RNA, 253 nt
Filed under: uncultured bacterium
Lineage: Bacteria
Description: partial 16S ribosomal RNA
Rfam family: Bacterial small subunit ribosomal RNA
Source: RNAcentral